UACGAAGGGGGCUAGCGUUGCUCGGAAUUACUGGGCGUAAAGCGCACGUAGGCGGUUCGUCGCGUCGGCUGUGAAAACCCGGAGCUCAACUCCGGGCCUGCAGUCGAUACGGGCGGACUUGAGUGUUGCAGGGGAGACUGGAAUUCCUGGUGUAGCGGUGAAAUGCGCAGAUAUCAGGAGGAACACCGGUGGCGUAGGCGGGUCUCUGGGCCAUAACUGACGCUGAGGAGCGAAAGCGUGGGGAGCGAACAGG
This 253-nucleotide ribosomal RNA is filed under the name uncultured bacterium. RNAcentral describes it as "partial 16S ribosomal RNA". It matches the Rfam family "Bacterial small subunit ribosomal RNA", at positions 524 to 776 of the family's 1533-position model. The record is from RNAcentral.